RNAcentral lists this long non-coding RNA (205 nucleotides) under Mytilus galloprovincialis (Mediterranean mussel). Lineage: Eukaryota; Metazoa; Mollusca; Bivalvia; Mytilida; Mytilidae. The record is from RNAcentral.
AUUCAUAUGUGCUGCCAUAUUCUUAUUAAAAACUGGUUAGUUUUAACUAUAACCGAAUAUAAAUAUACUUCCGAAGUAAGAUCUCGUUUGAGAACUGUGUAAAGUUGGUUAGAUUCAAACAAGCUACCCUUUGGCAAUAAAUGUAUAGAAUGAAGAUGUUUUAUUAAUAAAAUUAUGUUCUCUCCAUUCAAAUUGCUACCAAAGC